This 406-nucleotide ribosomal RNA is filed under the name uncultured bacterium. RNAcentral's name for it is "partial 16S ribosomal RNA". It matches the Rfam family "Bacterial small subunit ribosomal RNA", at positions 29 to 526 of the family's 1533-position model. The record is from RNAcentral.
AGUGAACGCUGGCGGCAGGCCUAACACAUGCAAGUCGAACGAGUGGCGGACGGGUGAGGAAUACAUGGGAACCUACCUUAUCGACGGGGCUAACGUAUGUAAACUUUCGCUAAUACCGCAUACGAUUGAAUGAGCCGAUGUGGGAUUAGCUAGUUGGGGGGGUAAAGGCCCACCAAGGCGACGAUCCGUAGCUGGUCUGAGAGGAUGAUCAGCCACACUGGAACUGAGACACGGUCCAGACUCCUACGGGAGGCAGCAGUGGGGAAUAUUGGACAAUGGGCGCAAGCCUGAUCCAGCCAUGCCGCGUGGAUGAAGAAGGCCGUCGGGUUGUAAAGUACUUUCAGCGGGGAGGCGUUACCCGCAGAAGAAGCACCGGCUAACUCCGUGCCAGCAGCCGCGGUAAUAC